AGUGAACGCUAGCGGCGUGCCUAACACAUGCAAGUCGAGCGAAAUUAUGCAAGAGUAUCGCAUGAUUUAGCGGCAAACGGGUGAGUAACACGUAGAAAAUCUACCUUAAAAUGUGGGAUACCUUUAAGAAAUUAAAGUUAAUACCGCAUAGUAUUAUGGUUUGGCAUCAAACUAUAAUAAAAGCAGAAAUGUGUUUUAAGAUGAUUCUGCGUCCUAUCAGCUAGUUGGUAAGAUAACAGCUUACCAAGGCUUUGACGGGUAUCUGGCCUGAAAGGGUGAACGGACACAUUGGAACUGAGACACGGUCCAAACUCCUACGGGAGGCAGCAGUGGGGAAUAUUGGACAAUGGGGGAAACCCUGAUCCAGCGACGCCGCGUGAAGGAUGAAGGCCUUAGGGUUGUAAACUUCUUUUAGGAGGAAAGAAAAAAAUGACGGUACCUCCAGAAAAAGCCACGGCUAACUACGUGCCAGCAGCCGCGGUAAUACGUAGGUGGCAAGCGUUACUCGGAAUUACUAGGCGUAAAGAGUAUGUAGGUGGUAAGAUAAGUCUUUAGUGAAAUUUUUUAGCUUAACUAAGAAAGGUCUGAGGAUACUAUUUUACUUGAGUAUAGGAGAGGAAGAUGGAAUUCCUGGUGUAGCGGUGGAAUGCGUAGAUAUCAGGAAGAACACCAAUGGCGAAGGCAAUCUUCUAGACUAUUACUGACACUGAGAUACGAAAGCUAGGGGAGCAAACAGGAUUAGAUACCCCGGUAGUCCACGCCGUAAACGAUGGAUGUUAACUGUGGGGGGUAUCGACCCCCUCCGUAGUAAAGCUAACGCGUUAAACAUCCCGCCAGUGGAGUACGGCCGCAAGGCUAAAACAUAAAGGAAUUGACGGGGACCCGCACAAGCGGUGGAGCGUGUUCUUUAAUUCGAUGCUAAACGAAGAACCUUACCAGGGCUUGACAUCCCUUAGCGAAUUUCCGAAAGGAAAUUUUCAUUUAGUUGGAAGGUGACAGGUGAUGCAUGGCCGUCGUCAGCUCGUGUCGUGAGAUGUUUGAGUUAAGUCCAUCAACGAGCGCAACCCUUAUUGUUAGUUGUAUUUUUCUAGCAAGACUGCUUUCGUAAGAGAGAGGAAGGAGGGGAUGAUGUCAGGUCAGUAUUUCCCUUACGCCCUGGGCCAGAAACGCGCUACAAUGGCCGGUACAACGGGCAGCGAAACUGUAAAGUGAAGCAAAUCCCAUCAAAACCGGUCCCAGUUCGGAUUGAGGGCUGAAACUCGCCCUCAUGAAGCCGGAAUCGCUAGUAAUCGCAGAUCAGCAGGCUGCGGUGAAUACGUUCCCGGGCCUUGUACACACCGCCCGUCACACCACGAAAGUCAGUUGUAACAGAAGUCAUUGAUCUAACCUUGAAAAAGGAAGUAAAUGCCUAAGUUAUGGUUAACGAUUGGGGUG
RNAcentral lists this ribosomal RNA (1434 nucleotides) under uncultured Candidatus Saccharibacteria bacterium. Its description in RNAcentral is "bacterial SSU rRNA". It matches the Rfam family "Bacterial small subunit ribosomal RNA". Lineage: Bacteria; Candidatus Saccharimonadota. The record is from RNAcentral.